UGGAAAGAUGAAUCAAAGAAGGUAAUAAUCCUGUAGUCGAAAAUGUUGUCUCUCUUGAGUGGAUCCUGAGUACGACGGAGCACGUGAAAUUCCGUCGGAAUCUGGGAGGACCAUCUCCUAAGGCUAAAUACUCUCUAGUGACCGAUAGUGAACCAGUACCGUGAGGGAAAGGUGAAAAGCACCCCGGAAGGGGAGUGAAAUAGAACCUGAAACCGUGUGCUUACAAGUAGUCAGAGCCCGUUAAUGGGUGAUGGCGUGCCUUUUGUAGAAUGAACCGGCGAGUUACGAUUUGAUGCAAGGUUAAGCAGUAAAUGUGGAGCCGUAGCGAAAGCGAGUCUGAAUAGGGCGUUUAGUAUUUGGUCGUAGACCC
This 370-nucleotide ribosomal RNA is filed under the name Staphylococcus aureus. RNAcentral's name for it is "partial 23S ribosomal RNA". It matches the Rfam family "Bacterial large subunit ribosomal RNA", at positions 343 to 716 of the family's 2925-position model. The record is from RNAcentral. Lineage: Bacteria; Bacillati; Bacillota; Bacilli; Caryophanales; Staphylococcaceae.